RNAcentral lists this transfer RNA (72 nucleotides) under Cavia porcellus (domestic guinea pig). It matches the Rfam family "tRNA". Rfam says of the family: Transfer RNA (tRNA) molecules are approximately 80 nucleotides in length. Their secondary structure includes four short double-helical elements and three loops (D, anti-codon, and T loops). The record is from Rfam by way of RNAcentral. Lineage: Eukaryota; Metazoa; Chordata; Mammalia; Rodentia; Caviidae.
GAGGGCAUAGCUCAGUGGUAGAGAGCUUGCCUAGCAUGCAUGAGACCCUAGGUUCAACCCCCAGUACCACUU